Molecule: long non-coding RNA, 3577 nt
Organism: Musa acuminata AAA Group (dessert banana)
Lineage: Eukaryota; Viridiplantae; Streptophyta; Magnoliopsida; Zingiberales; Musaceae
Exons: 2
Source: RefSeq, a predicted model, not a curated record
UCCAUUAGAAUUUGUACCAAGUUAUUGGAUCUUAAUUAUGUGUUCAUCCUCUAUUUGGUUGAUGGAUCCGUAACAAGGAUCUACAUCGGUUUCGGAUCGGGUUUUAGUUAACGGGUCCAAGUGACAUCCUGCUAAACAGGGAUACUUCUUUAGCACGCCGUCCUCCGAAGCCUCCUCCCGCCGCCUCCUCGGAGCUAUGGAUGCCCAGAAGAUCUUGCUACGCAAUGGCCGCCCGGCCUCCGCAGGCGUGAAACCGACGACGACAACGCCGCUGACCCCAACACGAGCCACCUAGUCAAGGGCUCCCAGAUGAAGCGCGACUCCCCGGAGAUCAGCCCCGUCGAGCGCCUCUCCGACCGCAGGACGGAGCUCGCCAAGGUCAUCACCUACAGCUGCCCCAUGUACCCACAGGGUGGAAGCCGCAGCAUGCCCUCCCGCCACGCCGACGCCGUCCGCUACCAGGCGUGCCACCCCCCCAUCAAGAACUUCAAGAACCUUGGCGACAUUUGCCUCCCUGAGGCCAUCCCCAAGAAGUUGAAAGAAAAGGGGAUUGUCCAGCCGACCCCGAUCCAUCUGCAGGGACUGCCGGCGAUUCACGGGCUGAGGAAACUGUGGUGAUGCAGGACGAGGUCAUGAAAAUCGACAAUUGCAGGACAGAAGACCUUCCAACUGAGUUUGCUUUUCUAAGAUUUCAAAGAAGUGGCUAUCUUUUCUGAGAAAUUUUGUUUGUUAUUUUCUUAGGACCUUGAGCAUGAAAGAACAUGAGCUUUGCUCUCAAAAGAAUAGUAUUCAAAGUUGUUCUUUCGGUUUGAUUCUAUGACUUAUCUGAACUCCCUUUUUUUUCUUAAAUGAGGGACAGGAAGGCUGACCCAUCUUUCAUUUCACCUAUAUGAUCUUUCUCACAUAUUUUUCGGUACACGUAGUUGCCAUUUGAAGUGGCUGAUAGGCUGGUAGACUUGGGCUUUGAGGAUGUCAUACAUGACUUACUCUUUAAUGCUGCCAUGCCCAAAAAGAGAUACAAAACUUUACAAAAAAGUGCUCUAAUGAAACCCGUAACAAUUAAUGUGGGAAGAACUGGAGCAGCGAACUUUAAUGUCAUUCAAGAGGUUGAGUACGCGAAACAAAAGGAAAAAAUUGAAUGCCUCAAAAAGACACCUCCAAGAUACUAGUUACAGUUGUCUUGCAGGCCAAUCAUGCGAGUGAUGACACGUGUGAUAUGUUGCAUAAUAUUUUUGAUUAUUAUUAUUAUGAUAUUUUAUCACUUUAUAUUGGAUGAUGAAUAUAUUAUGAUGUCCCUAGAUCUGUGCAAUGAGAGUUGGAUUAUGAUGAGAUCAUGAUAAAGAGACUAUGAUAAUGAGAUCAAUUCGUCUAUAAACACAAAUCAUAAAUAUUCCAGAUCAUAUGUUACUCGAGAGGGACAUCGAGAUAACUGAAUAGACCACUGUGCUAUAUACCCAUCUAUAUGAUGGAGGCAACUAGUUUCAUGGCUGCUUGUGUGGGGAUACUAGGGAUAUAAUGCAAGUGCUUAUUGGAGAAUGAGUUCACUAAAUGAUUCGCUUAUGGAAUGCUGGUCGGUUAAUGAUACCUCAUCGUCAGACAGCGAUUUCAUGGUCUCAAUUGUGUAGCUGGUCAUUAGACUUGAGACACCAAGGAUGUCUUGUUUGAGCACUUCAUUCUUUGAUACCGGACUUGUAGAUCUGGAAGUUUUAGAUCUAGCACAGUCGGUCGUCGGGAGUGAUAGUCCACCUUACGAAGACAAUUAAAUGUCAAUAAAGGGAUGAAUUCGAUAAGCGUGAGACUCGGAUUAGAGUGAGACCCGAAUGAAUAUCGUAUGAGCCUGACGGUACCAUGCCCGAUAUAUGAUCUAUGAGAUAUUAGAUGAAUGAGGGACUAUAGAUACACGGUAACUGAAGACAAACAAGUCCAAUGGAUUAGAUCCCCUUGUAUCGUUUGAGAACUAUGACGUAGUGGCCUAGUACGUCUAUAAUCGAUGAGUUGAGUGAUCACUGAGUUAUAAGGAGUUCUAACAAAUGCAGCUCACGGCCAGCUUGAUAUUGGGCCUAGAGGGUUACACAUAUAUGAUGAACAAUGCGACGAAUAGAGGAUUGAAUAUGAGAUAUCCAAUAAGCCCCUGUUUUAUUGGAUCUAUUGGGUGAGACCUAAUAAGACUUAGAGUGAUUGUUGGAUGAAGAUUCAAUAUCCAUUAUGUCAUAGGUUAUUGGAUAAAGAUUCAAUACUCAAAAGGAAUGAUCCAUUAGGGUAAGUUAAGAGAGCUCUCUAUAUAUAGGGGUUGGGGCUUAAAGAGUCAUAGGCUAGACCUCUAUUGCCGCCACCUCCUUCAUCUCCUCCCUGCCCCUUCCUCCAGUUGACUGCAUCCUCUUUGGUGCGUUGUCGUCGUAUCCGCUGUGUGGAUCACUGCUAGAGAGGAGUUUGCGAGAGCUCCUUCAUCCAUGGACUGGGAUCUGCAGAUUAGGGGAUAUACAAUCUCCCCUAAGUGAGAACGUCUCAACCAGUUUAUGCAGUUACCAAGUUUUUGUCACUUUAAGUUUUUUUGCUCCCAAUCUUUACACGACGAUUAGAUAAGAUUGUUUUGGGAAAUCAGUUUUUGUUUUUAUUUUUCGUUGUGCAUGUGAUGCUCUCUGCGAUUUUCCAACACAAGAAAGACAGCAUGGAUGACAUUCAAUGAGUAUCUUCUUCUUGUGGGAAUUGAAGUUGUUGUCAUUCAUGUUCUCAAAGACCAGGAAGAAAGAGAGCACAACAUUGCAUCCUUUUAAAUCUGGUGAGAGGGAUGUUUUGAUUGCCACUGAUGUUACUUCCAAGGGCCUUGAUUUUCCUGACGUUAAUCAUGUGGUUAAUAUGAUAUGCCUGCUGAAAUUGAGAAUUAUAUUCAUCAUUUUGUCAAAAGGAGUGGUGUGGUAAAACAGGAACAACAACAACAACAACAUUCAUAAACAAGAACCAAACAGAGACAACUCUUUUUGACUCGAAGCACCUAUUACAAGAAGCAACUACAACAACAACAACAACAGCCUGUUCUUGGGACAUAACAACUUAUUGUUUCAGUUUUGGCAGCACUCGAUGACCCAAUGAACGGUGAUGCUGUCACCGACACAAGUGAGAGUUGUGCAUAUUGUGGUGGGCUUGGUCACUGAAUCCGACUACAGGUUCAACAAGACUACAGUAAUCAGAGAUUAAAAUCCUUCUAUUUCAGGGUGCCUAACUAUUUUCAGUUGGACAGUGGCUAUUAAUCCAGUGCAUUGUUGACGUUCCAGCAGUUAGUAACUGGAUGAAUAGAUGGUGAAAAGUCAGAUCUUAGCACCUCAGAAAUGGCAAUGUUAAAUUACAUGCUACCGAAUGAUGCAAAUUGUUGUAAGAUUUUAAUAUUUGUGAGAUAAUAGUGUAUACACAGGAGUCCGCUCCGCUGAAUGUCAAUUGAGAGGGAACUAUGUGGUGAAACUUAUGGUGGAUGUAUAACAUGUAAUGUGAUGUUGCGGGAAGAAUGCUAUCCAUGUACCAACUCUUUUCUGUAAAUGGUUUAGCAGCAGUACUGUAUGCUGAUGAUACUGUUGCUAUUUGG